This is a long non-coding RNA of Oryzias melastigma (Indian medaka), 972 nucleotides long. RefSeq lists it as uncharacterized. NCBI's taxonomy places the organism in Eukaryota, Metazoa, Chordata, Actinopteri, Beloniformes, Adrianichthyidae. The record is from RefSeq and is a predicted model, not a curated record. The transcript is spliced from 3 exons.
AUCCAACACCGUGUGCCAGAACCAGGUUGGGAAAAGGCAAAAGUUCCUCACACUCUACUAUCGUGACGUGGCACACAGUCCCCAAGCCUGAUGAGGUUCAUUACAGGUCUCUUUUAGGGUCUAUUCUGACUGGAGGUUUGUUAUUCCUGAACGUCAUGUUUGGUCUGGAUUCAGACUGCCGUCAACUCAGUUCUCUGUUUCCAACCAAAGCUUGUAAACAAAACCAUGUGACUAAAGAUCUCUUCACUCAUUGGACAGGAACUACGGAGGCGGGGCAAAGCAACUAGAGGCAGAAAUUAGGGAAGUUCUACGCUUUGCAAUCCUUGUUGGGAUAGUCCACCAAUUCUGAACGUCUGUAUCAACAUCAGGUUCAACACUUUUUACUGUUUGGUACGGUGGAGACAUGCUGCAGGACGGUUCUGAGGAGCCGACGGCUAAGAAGGUGACGACCAUCUACGGUGGCUGUUUUGGUCCAGUCGUUCCACUCCGAGCAUGGAGUCUAUUCAGACGGAGGAAUCUCAGAACGAACAACUGGAAACACACCGAGAACAUCGGGAAAGAUGGGAUUCUUUUGGUCGUUCUCCACCCCAGUGAUGCUUGGUGGCAGUCCAGCCUCCAACCACCAUCAGCGUCUCUGGAGUUCAUUCAUCUGACGUGUUCAUUCCAACGUGCUCAUUCUGGACUUCAUUUAUUCCUGUUUUUCUGUAACAAAACUAAAUCUUUAAUCUGAAAAAGAAAUCUGAAAAUAAGUAUAGAUUCCCAUAUUUUCCUACAGAUGUCUUUUCUCUGCUUUUUAUGCCAUAAAAACUUAUUUUGGGGGGAAUCGUUUUUAGGUUCAGCUAAGAAUGAUGAGUAUUUAAUAAAAAAAUAACAAUGACAACUUUGACUAGAUAAACGUGUUUUAUGAGAUUUAGUUGUACAUUUUCACGUCUGCUUUUCUCAGCACACACCACAGUCAGCUCAGCUAUUCUA